RNAcentral lists this ribosomal RNA (481 nucleotides) under uncultured bacterium. RNAcentral's name for it is "partial 16S ribosomal RNA". It matches the Rfam family "Bacterial small subunit ribosomal RNA", at positions 30 to 507 of the family's 1533-position model. The record is from RNAcentral.
AUUGAACGCUGGCGGCAUGAUUUACACAUGCAAGUCGAACGGUAACAGGCCGCAAGGUGCUGACGAGUGGCGAACGGGUGAGUAAUGCAUCGGAACGUGCCCAGUCGUGGGGGAUAACUACUCGAAAGAGUAGCUAAUACCGCAUACGAUCUAUGGAUGAAAGCGGGGACCGUAAGGCCUCGCGCGAUUGGAGCGGCCGAUGUCAGAUUAGGUAGUUGGUGGGGUAAAGGCUCACCAAGCCAACGAUCUGUAGCUGGUCUGAGAGGACGACCAGCCACACUGGGACUGAGACACGGCCCAGACUCCUACGGGAGGCAGCAGUGGGGAAUUUUGGACAAUGGGCGCAAGCCUGAUCCAGCAAUGCCGCGUGCAGGAAGAAGGCCUUCGGGUUGUAAACUGCUUUUGUACGGAACGAAACGGCUCUGGUUAAUACCCGGGGCUAAUGACGGUACCGUAAGAAUAAGCACCGGCUAACUACGUG